Molecule: non-coding RNA, 214 nt
Filed under: Bradyrhizobium japonicum
Lineage: Bacteria; Pseudomonadati; Pseudomonadota; Alphaproteobacteria; Hyphomicrobiales; Nitrobacteraceae
Also listed under: 1 other name
Source: RNAcentral
CGUAGAUUGAUCGGUGACGGUUCUCCGCACGGAGAUCAAAAGGGAACGUGGUGCGAGAUUGUCCCAAUGCCGGGAUUGUCCCAACGCCACGGCUGCCCCCGCAACUGUAAGCGGUGAAUCUUUCGUCAUAUGCCACUGGGAAUCUCGGUCCUGGGAAGGCGACGUAAGGUAACGACCCGCGAGCCAGGAGACCUGCCGUCAGCCGUGGUCACAC